This 149-nucleotide ribosomal RNA is filed under the name uncultured Rhizophagus. RNAcentral's name for it is "5.8S ribosomal RNA". It matches the Rfam family "5.8S ribosomal RNA". From Rfam's summary of the family: 5.8S ribosomal RNA (5.8S rRNA) is a component of the large subunit of the eukaryotic ribosome. It is transcribed by RNA polymerase I as part of the 45S precursor that also contains 18S and 28S rRNA. The record is from RNAcentral. Lineage: Eukaryota; Fungi; Glomeromycota; Glomeromycetes; Glomerales; Glomeraceae.
UCACUUUCAACAACGGAUCUCUUGGUUCUCGCAUCGAUGAAGAACGUAGCGAAGUGCGAUAUGUAAUGUGAAUUGCAGAAUUCCGUGAAUCAUCGAAUCUUUGAACGCAAAUUGCACGCUCUUCGGGGAGUAUGCCUGUUUGAGGGUCA